This 465-nucleotide ribosomal RNA is filed under the name uncultured bacterium. Its description in RNAcentral is "partial 16S ribosomal RNA". It matches the Rfam family "Bacterial small subunit ribosomal RNA", at positions 28 to 507 of the family's 1533-position model. The record is from RNAcentral.
GACGAACGCUGGCGGCGUGCUUAACACAUGCAAGUCGAACGGAAAAGCCCUGCUUGCAGGGUACUCGAGUGGCGAACGGGUGAGUAACACGUGGGUGAUCUGCCCUGCACUUCGGGAUAAGCCUGGGAAACUGGGUCUAAUACCGGAUAGGAGCCAUUUUUAGUGUGAUGGUUGGAAAGUUUUUUCGGUGUAGGAUGAGCUCGCGGCCUAUCAGCUUGUUGGUGGGGUAAUGGCCUACCAAGGCGGCGACGGGUAGCCGGCCUGAGAGGGUGGACGGCCACAUUGGGACUGAGAUACGGCCCAGACUCCUACGGGAGGCAGCAGUGGGGAAUAUUGCACAAUGGGCGCAAGCCUGAUGCAGCGACGCCGCGUGGGGGAUGACGGCCUUCGGGUUGUAAACUCCUUUCGCUAGGGACGAAGCUUUUUGUGACGGUACCUAGAGAAGAAGCACCGGCUAACUACGUG